CCCAAAUUGCCAAACCACUGCAUCCGAGGAGGCACUGCUUGGGACUGGAGCUUCCAGCAGACUUGAAAGGGCUAAUGUGUUUUAUCAGGGGCUGAAGCUGAUGGGGUAAUCAUCAGGGAAAGCUAUGGAUCUGACUGAUGCUCGGGCAAGCAGUCUUCCCCUGUCAUCCAGGAAGCCCUCGAGCUCAUCACUAUGGCAUCUGCUGGGCCUGCGAUGGAUCAAAGCGAAAGUUAGGAUGGAAAAGCGAGGCUCCUGG
Long non-coding RNA from Bos taurus (domestic cattle), 256 nucleotides. The record is from Ensembl. Lineage: Eukaryota; Metazoa; Chordata; Mammalia; Artiodactyla; Bovidae.